RNAcentral lists this ribosomal RNA (549 nucleotides) under uncultured Glomus. RNAcentral describes it as "SSU rRNA". It matches the Rfam family "Eukaryotic small subunit ribosomal RNA", at positions 548 to 1098 of the family's 1831-position model. Lineage: Eukaryota; Fungi; Glomeromycota; Glomeromycetes; Glomerales; Glomeraceae. The record is from RNAcentral.
UUGGAGGGCAAGUCUGGUGCCAGCAGCCGCGGUAAUUCCAGCUCCAAUAGCGUAUAUUAAAGUUGUUGCAGUUAAAAAGCUCGUAGUUGAAUUUCGGGAUCGACGGGUCGGUCGCGCCUCUGGUGUGUACUGGCCCUGUCGGUUUCUCCCUUCUGACGAACCACGAUGUCAUUAAUUUGGUGUCGUGGGGAAUCAGGACUGUUACUUUGAAAAAAUUAGAGUGUUUAAAGCAAGCAUUCGCUUGAAUACAUUAGCAUGGAAUAAUGAAAUAGGACGUUUGAUCUUAUUUUGUUGGUUUCUAAGAUCGACGUAAUGAUUAAUAGGGAUAGUUGGGGGCAUUAGUAUUCAAUUGUCAGAGGUGAAAUUCUUGGAUUUAUUGAAGACUAACUACUGCGAAAGCAUUUGCCAAGGAUGUUUUCAUUAAUCAAGAACGAAAGUUAGGGGAUCGAAGACGAUCAGAUACCGUCGUAGUCUUAACCAUAAACUAUGCCGACUAGGGAUCGGACGAUGUUAAUUUUUUCUUGACUCGUUCGGCGCCUUACGGGAAAC